GAGUUUGAUCAUGGCUCAGGAUUAACGCUGGCGGCAUGCCUAAUACAUGCAAGUCGAACGGAGUAGCAAUACUUAGUGGCGAACGGGUGAGUAACACGUAUCUAAUCUACCAUUUAGUGGGGAAUAACUGUUGGAAACGACAGCUAAUACCGCAUAAUAUUGCUGGAUAAUUUCCAGUAAUGAAAGGAGCUUUCAAGCUCCGCUGAUUGAUGAGGAUGCGGCGCAUUAGCUAGUUGGUAGGGUAAUGGCCUACCAAGGCAAUGAUGCGUAGCCGAUCUGAGAGGAUGAACGGCCACAUUGGGACUGAGACACGGCCCAAACUUCUACGGAAGGCAGCAGUAGGGAAUUUUUCACAAUGGGCGAAAGCCUGAUGGAGCAAUGCCGCGUGACUGAUGAAGGUCUUCGGAUUGUAAAGGUCUGUUGUAAGGGAAGAAAUGGUAAAACAGGAAAUGGUUUUAUCUAUGACGGUACCUUACCAGAAAGCCACGGCUAACUAUGUGCCAGCAGCCGCGGUAAUACAUAGGUGGCAAGCGUUAUCCGGAUUUAUUGGGCGUAAAGGGUGCGUAGACGGUUUUGCAAGUCUGAGGUUAAAUUUAGGAGCUCAACUCCUAAUCGCCUUGGAAACUACAAGACUAGAGUAUAGGAGAGGUUAGUGGAAUUCCAUGUGUAGCGGUGGAAUGUGUAGAUAUAUGGAGGGAACACCAGUGGCGAA
Molecule: ribosomal RNA, 712 nt
Filed under: uncultured Spiroplasma sp.
Lineage: Bacteria; Bacillati; Mycoplasmatota; Mollicutes; Entomoplasmatales; Spiroplasmataceae
Description: bacterial SSU rRNA
Rfam family: Bacterial small subunit ribosomal RNA
Source: RNAcentral